This 495-nucleotide ribosomal RNA is filed under the name uncultured bacterium. RNAcentral describes it as "partial 16S ribosomal RNA". It matches the Rfam family "Bacterial small subunit ribosomal RNA", at positions 28 to 507 of the family's 1533-position model. The record is from RNAcentral.
GACGAACGCUGGCGGCGUGCCUAAUACAUGCAAGUAGAACGCUGAAGGAGGAGCUUGCUUCUCUGGAUGAGUUGCGAACGGGUGAGUAACGCGUAGGUAACCUGCCUGGUAGCGGGGGAUAACUAUUGGAAACGAUAGCUAAUACCGCAUAAGAGUAGAUGUUGCAUGACAUUUGCUUAAAAGGUGCAAUUGCAUCACUACCAGAUGGACCUGCGUUGUAUUAGCUAGUUGGUGGGGUAACGGCUCACCAAGGCGACGAUACAUAGCCGACCUGAGAGGGUGAUCGGCCAAACUGGGACUGAGAAACGGCCCAGAAUCCUACGGGAGGCAGCAGUAGGGAAUCUUCGGAAAUGGACGGAAGUCUGAACGAGCAACGCCGCGUGAGUGAAGAAGGUUUUCGGAUCGUAAAGCUCUGUUGUAAGAGAAGAACGAGUGUGAGAGUGGAAAGUUCACACUGUGACGGUAUCUUACCAGAAAGGGACGGCUAACUACGUG